Molecule: ribosomal RNA, 253 nt
Filed under: uncultured Sphingomonas sp.
Lineage: Bacteria; Pseudomonadati; Pseudomonadota; Alphaproteobacteria; Sphingomonadales; Sphingomonadaceae
Description: partial 16S ribosomal RNA
Rfam family: Bacterial small subunit ribosomal RNA
Source: RNAcentral
UACGGAGGGAGCUAGCGUUGUUCGGAAUUACUGGGCGUAAAGCGUACGUAGGCGGCUUUGUAAGUUAGAGGUGAAAGCCUGGAGCUCAACUCCAGAAUUGCCUUUAAGACUGCAUCGCUUGAAUCCUGGAGAGGUGAGUGGAAUUCCGAGUGUAGAGGUGAAAUUCGUAGAUAUUCGGAAGAACACCAGUGGCGAAGGCGGCUCACUGGACAGGUAUUGACGCUGAGGUACGAAAGCGUGGGGAGCAAACAGG